UAAAACCAUGGGUAAUUAGAAAUCAUAAGAGAAUGACAGUCGACAGCCUUUAUUUCACAUAUCUACCUAGGACUUCAGUUUAAUGAGGGUCACUUGAGAAGCUUAAUUGACCAUACUGUACUUGAAGUACUUUUAUGAUCACUCAACAAAGCGACGGAGAAGUUUUAAAGAUCGCAAAUGCGAGGAUACAAUGUGUACAACACGUACAGAAGCUUGCAAAAAACAUGCAUCGUUUGUUUCAAAUGUCAUCCAUGUUGCAGCAAAGUUGGAUUUUGUCGAUUUUGUGGCACUUCAACAUCUCCAUUUACACUCAUCCCUAAAGAAUAUUGCUCAUGCAGUAAGUCCGGGAGUUCUCAAAUGGAAAAUAAGAGUUUCCUUAUUUAUCAAGGAGAAAAUUAAAUUUUUCAUAAGCUAUUACAAGCGUUAUUUCCAGCGAUGAAUCGUUCAUUAUACGUGUUAAAAAUUAUAACAAUAUAAACCUAAACGUAUCAAUUGUAGAAUCGAACUUCUUUACCUUAUAUGAAACAUUGUGAAUGGAAAUGUUUAGUUUGUAGCUGUUUAUUGUACACGGCACAUCACUUUACCAAGUAAAUGUGUUUAAUUACUGUUUAACGAAUAA
Long non-coding RNA from Xenia sp. Carnegie-2017, 619 nucleotides. RefSeq lists it as uncharacterized. The record is from RefSeq and is a predicted model, not a curated record. Lineage: Eukaryota; Metazoa; Cnidaria; Anthozoa; Malacalcyonacea; Xeniidae. The transcript is spliced from 3 exons.